UAUGAGCAUUAAGUCAACGUGGUUUUUUUUUUUGUUUUUUUUAAUUACUUUAACUCAUCAAAUUAAUUCAACCAAUUCCAUUCAUUAGUCAACAAGAUUUUAAGUCAGUUUAGUAUAAUUUAAGUGGAAAUGACUUGUACAGCCAGUCUGAGUAUACUUAAAAAUUGCAGGCAGCAGUUGAAGUAGGGAUUAUUAUUAUUAUUAUUUUUUUUAAAUAUGUAGUUGAUGAUUUUAGUAAAUGCACAGAUUAGUCAUAAAAUUAGUCAUUUUGUGUUAGAGGGUAAAGUAGGCCUACUGUAAAUUGAUUUAUUUAUAUAUUAUAAAUUUGUGUUGUUUUAAUUAUUUAUUAUAGUCUGGAAUUUGUGGAUACUUUUAAAGUGUACUGUAAUACGCGACACUGCUCAACACACUUUCGAGUAAACUCAAAGCAACUGCAUGUAGUUUUGUGUAUUUUCGCUACUUUAGAGCCCUCUACAGUAAGUGAGUGGAAUUCACUGUCGUAAAUAUAGUGCUGUCGUAAUUAUCUUUAUGGAGGAAAGCUGUACCAAAGCUGUACACGUGCAUUUGUUUUUGCCGUAAAGCAAUAAGCACUUUCCCUGGAAUUUCGUACCAAACAACUUGCAUCCUUUCAGAACACGUUUGGAGGGGAACGUCAAAGAAACAUAAGCCAGUCGCUUUAUUAGAAGUUCAGCCUUCAGUUCAUCUGCAGCACUCCUCCUGAGGUGUUACUCCUGCUCCUCAAGUGGCUCCGCUGGAGUGUUCUGGCCCCGAUGACUCAUGCCAUCUGUUAGCAGCUCUCGUAUGAUCACACUUCCAAUAAACAGAAAGGUGAAGAUUGUCUUUUUUUAAAUCAAUUUGGUUUUAAAUGAGUUUGGUUACCAGAUGGUUUUCAAUUAAAUUUACUGUUAACAAAGCUUAUUUAACUCUCGGUUUUAAUUUGUUGGGUUGGAUUUGAGUUUUUCAAUUUAAUACUAGUAGACUAUGGAUUACUUUUGCCUCUGUGCUCACUAAAUGCAACUGCAAUAACCUUUAUAUAUACACCUAUCAUUUUCUUAGGUACAAAACACAUAUAUAUUAAAUGUUUCAUUGUUGUUAAACAUUAUAUAA
This is a long non-coding RNA of Cyprinus carpio carpio, 1107 nucleotides long. Lineage: Eukaryota; Metazoa; Chordata; Actinopteri; Cypriniformes; Cyprinidae. The record is from Ensembl.